ACUCUGCCUCAGGGAAGGCUGGAGCCAGCUGCAGAGGCUGCAUCACAUGGACAUACCUAAGGUGCUGACUUGUCUCCACAGCAUUCACCCUCAGGGUCUCAGCUGUGUGGUCAUUAACCCUGGAACUCUGCAUCGUGUUGGAUCUGGACCCCGUCCACUCCACGGACCGACCCUGAUCAAGCUUGUUGUUUCCUUCUUCCUUCCUAUUUGGGAACUUGAAACGGGGAAAAAAAGUUUCUUCUCUCUGAGCUCUUUCGGGUACACAAUGAACGGAAGAGCCCAGUCCUUCGGACUUUCGGUUUCACCUGUUCAGCCAGCAGUCUAGCAGGCCUGACUUCUGCAGCCAGCUAGAUAAGACUUCCGCUUACCAGGCAUGUCCACUGGCUUCCAGCUAUUGGAAAAGGUUCUCUCUCCAUCUUCUCAGACUGUAGACUGUACACUGCUCUUUCUUUGAAGCAAUCUAAGCAACUCCCCUGCAUGGUAGCUGGUUGAGGCAUAGCCUGAAGUGGUCCCUGGGGUGUCACCAAUGACACUUUGACAGAACUUCUAACAUGGGACAUUGAGCCUUUAAAAAUGGCUCAAGUCUUAGCUACAGGCGGUGCAAUGUGUCAUAAGACACCUCCUGAGCUUGAAGCCUGAAGCCAGAUAAAGCACAUUUACUUCAACAUGGGCGAAGGUGGUGAUUCGACCCAUAGGAGUUGUAAGUCUCAUGGCUACACCAUGCUCAUCUCUCACCCCUGGAAAUCUGAGUCUGGUGUCCACAGCCCUCCAUAUCAUAGCCUCGGAUUCUGGUCGGAGAAUACUGACCUAUCUAUGGAUAGUGGCUAACAGGACAGGUUCAACUUCUAUGACCUUCUACCUCACAUACCUAAAAGCAGGGGUAGGGGAGGCAUGGCGGCCAUGGUUGGGACAAAGAGCUCGCUCAAGUUAUUCAAAAACCUUCUGUCAGCUGUACCCCUUUACAGCCGUACCCAGCUCAAGCACUACAAACACUUUUAGGGGAGUAAUUUUAGAUUCUAAGAUGCUCCAAACACCAAAUAGGAAAGAUAUUUUUCUAACUUGGGCAUGUUAAACAACUCAUAGCGAUCUAUCCAAAGGGGCUGGGACCAUGACCAGGGAGGAGCCAUUACGCCAGACAGAAGUAAUUGCCAGGGACCUGGAACACACAGCCUCCUGUCCCUGAGAGGCUGCGUGAGGAACCCCAGCCAGCUGGCUCCAACAUUUCCAGUCAUCUGCUUGUACUUCAGCCAUGUGGAUUCUUACUGAAAAGCCUGAGAUUUCUCAAACCCCCCCCCCCCAAAAAAAAAAAAAACCCAUCC
RNAcentral lists this long non-coding RNA (1319 nucleotides) under Mus pahari (shrew mouse). Its description in RNAcentral is "lncRNA (MGP_PahariEiJ_G0006121.1)". The record is from RNAcentral. Lineage: Eukaryota; Metazoa; Chordata; Mammalia; Rodentia; Muridae.